This 557-nucleotide ribosomal RNA is filed under the name uncultured bacterium. Its description in RNAcentral is "partial 16S ribosomal RNA". It matches the Rfam family "Bacterial small subunit ribosomal RNA", at positions 355 to 905 of the family's 1533-position model. The record is from RNAcentral.
UGGGGAAUUUUGGACAAUGGGCGAAAGCCCGAUCCAGCAAUGCCGCGUGUGUGAAGAAGGCCUUCGGGUUGUAAAGCACUUUUGUCCGGAAAGAAAUCCUUGGCUCUAAUACAGUCGGGGGAUGACGGUACCGGAAGAAUAAGCACCGGCUAACUACGUGCCAGCAGCCGCGGUAAUACGUAGGGUGCAAGCGUUAAUCGGAAUUACUGGGCGUAAAGCGUGCGCAGGCGGUUUGCUAAGACCGAUGUGAAAUCCCCGGGCUCAACCUGGGAACUGCAUUGGUGACUGGCAGGCUAGAGUAUGGCAGAGGGGGGUAGAAUUCCACGUGUAGCAGUGAAAUGCGUAGAGAUGUGGAGGAAUACCGAUGGCGAAGGCAGCCCCCUGGGCCAAUACUGACGCUCAUGCACGAAAGCGUGGGGAGCAAACAGGAUUAGAUACCCUGGUAGUCCACGCCCUAAACGAUGUCAACUAGUUGUUGGGGAUUCAUUUCCUUAGUAACGUAGCUAACGCGUGAAGUUGACCGCCUGGGGAGUACGGUCGCAAGAUUAAAACUCAAA